This 497-nucleotide ribosomal RNA is filed under the name uncultured bacterium. Its description in RNAcentral is "partial 16S ribosomal RNA". It matches the Rfam family "Bacterial small subunit ribosomal RNA", at positions 28 to 507 of the family's 1533-position model. The record is from RNAcentral.
GAUGAACGCUGGCGGCGUGCCUAAUACAUGCAAGUCGAGCGAACAGACGAGGAGCUUGCUCCUCUGACGUUAGCGGCGGACGGGUGAGUAACACGUGGAUAACCUACCUAAAAGACUGGGAUAACUUCGGGAAACCGGAGCUAAUACCGGAUAAUAUAUUGAACCGCAUGGUUCAAUAGUGAAAGACGGUUUUGCUGUCACUUAUAGAUGGAUCCGCGCCGCAUUAGCUAGUUGGUAAGGUAACGGCUUACCAAGGCAACGAUGCGUAGCCGACCUGAGAGGGUGAUCGGCCACACUGGAACUGAGACACGGUCCAGACUCCUACGGGAGGCAGCAGUAGGGAAUCUUCCGCAAUGGGCGAAAGCCUGACGGAGCAACGCCGCGUGAGUGAUGAAGGUCUUCGGAUCGUAAAACUCUGUUAUUAGGGAAGAACAAAUGUGUAAGUAACUAUGCACGUCUUGACGGUACCUAAUCAGAAAGCCACGGCUAACUACGUG